CCGCCAGACUCCUACGGGAGGCAGCAGUGGGGAAUAUUGCACAAUGGGGGAAACCCUGAUGCAGCGACGCCGCGUGAGUGAAGAAGUAUUUCGGUAUGUAAAGCUCUAUCAGCAGGGAAGAAAAUGACGGUACCUGAUUAAGAAGCCCCGGCUAACUACGUGCCAGCAGCCGCGGUAAUACGUAGGGGGCAAGCGUUAUCCGGAAUUACUGGGUGUAAAGGGAGCGUAGACGGUAAUGCAAGUCUGGAGUGAAAGGCGGGGGCCCACCCCCCGGACUGCUCUGGAAACUGUGUAACUGGAGUGCAGGAGAGGCAGGCGGAAUUCCUAGUGUAGCGGUGAAAUGCGUAGAUAUUAGGAGGAACACCAGUGGCGAAGGCGGCUUACUGGACUGUAACUGACGUUGAGGCUCGAAAGCGUGGGGAGCAAACAGGAUUAGAUACCCCAGUA
RNAcentral lists this ribosomal RNA (447 nucleotides) under uncultured bacterium. RNAcentral describes it as "bacterial SSU rRNA". It matches the Rfam family "Bacterial small subunit ribosomal RNA", at positions 328 to 792 of the family's 1533-position model. The record is from RNAcentral.